GCCUGGGUGGCUCAGUGGUUGAGCUUCUGCCUUUGACUCAGGUCAUGAUCCUAGGGUCUUGGGAUCAAGUCCCACAUCAGGCU
Canis lupus familiaris (dog) is the source of this 83-nucleotide non-coding RNA. NCBI's taxonomy places the organism in Eukaryota, Metazoa, Chordata, Mammalia, Carnivora, Canidae. The record is from Rfam.